GAUGAAGAACGUAGCGAAAUGCGAUAAGUAGUGUGAAUUGCAGAAUUCAGUGAAUCAUCGAAUCUUUGAACGCACAUUGCGCCCCUUGGUAUUCCAUGGGGCAUGCUUGUUCGAGCGUCAUUUGUACUCUCAAGCUCUGCUUGGUGUUGGGUGUUUGUCCUUUCCCUGCGUUAGGACUCGCCUCAAAUUCAUUGGCAGCCGAUAUAUUGGUUUGAAGCGCAGCACAAUUUGCGAUUCGGGCUGGUUAUUGUUGGCGUCCAGUAAGCACAUUUAACACUUUUGACCUCCGAUCAAGUAGGGAUACCCGCUGAACUUAAGCAUAUCAAUAAGCGGAGGA
This 337-nucleotide unclassified non-coding RNA is filed under the name soil metagenome. Its description in RNAcentral is "partial contains 5.8S ribosomal RNA, internal transcribed spacer 2, and large subunit ribosomal RNA". The stretch from base 1 to 120 matches the Rfam family "5.8S ribosomal RNA", at positions 35 to 154 of the family's 154-position model. The record is from RNAcentral.